AGCGAACGCAGGCGGCAGGCUUAACACAUGCAAGUCGAGCGGGCAUCUUCGGGUGUCAGCGGCGGACGGGUGAGUAACGCGUGGGAACGUGCCUUCUGGUUCGGAAUAACUCAGGGAGACUUGAGCUAAUACCGGAUACGCCCUUUUGGGGAAAGGUUUACUGCCGGAAGAUCGGCCCGCGUCUGAUUAGCUAGUUGGUGGGGUAACGGCCUACCAAGGCGACGAUCAGUAGCUGGUCUGAGAGGAUGAUCAGCCACACUGGGACUGAGACACGGCCCAGACUCCUACGGGAGGCAGCAGUGGGGAAUAUUGGACAAUGGGGGCAACCCUGAUCCAGCCAUGCCGCGUGAGUGAUGAAGGCCUUAGGGUUGUAAAGCUCUUUUAUCCGGGACGAUAAUGACGGUACCGGAGGAAUAAGCCCCGGCUAACUUCGUGCCAGCCGCCGCAGUAA
RNAcentral lists this ribosomal RNA (451 nucleotides) under uncultured bacterium. RNAcentral describes it as "partial 16S ribosomal RNA". It matches the Rfam family "Bacterial small subunit ribosomal RNA", at positions 29 to 523 of the family's 1533-position model. The record is from RNAcentral.